RNAcentral lists this long non-coding RNA (284 nucleotides) under Chinchilla lanigera (long-tailed chinchilla). RNAcentral's name for it is "lncRNA (ENSCLAG00000023113.1)". The record is from RNAcentral. Lineage: Eukaryota; Metazoa; Chordata; Mammalia; Rodentia; Chinchillidae.
GUCGGAGUACAUAGAACAGCUGAGGUAGCGUUCAGUUUCAGCCCCCAUGCCAUUAUGAUGGAUGUUUACAUCUCUACAUUGAGAGCCAAUUAUCUCGCUUUUGUGUGAGGCCCAAGGAUCACUCAUGCUGCCUGGCUGCACAGAGCACUGUUGGAUCUAGCCGAACGAAUUGUUUUCUGUCUCUGGGUAUAAGCAGUUUCUAUACACAAUAGAUUAUGACAACUUCUUCUUUAAGGUGAGAUCCAAUGUCAUUCACAGGGGUAUUCAGAAGUGCUAAAAAUAUU